This 589-nucleotide ribosomal RNA is filed under the name uncultured bacterium. RNAcentral's name for it is "partial 16S ribosomal RNA". It matches the Rfam family "Bacterial small subunit ribosomal RNA", at positions 355 to 1376 of the family's 1533-position model. The record is from RNAcentral.
UGGGGAAUAUUGGACAAUGGGCGCAAGCCUGAUCCAGCAAUGCCGCGUGUGUGAAGAAGGCCUUCGGGUUGUAAAGCACUUUUAUCAGGAGCGAAACGCUGUCGGCUAAUACCCGGCGGAACUGACGGUACCUGAGGAAUAAGCACCGGCUAACUUCGUGCCAGCAGCCGCGGUAAUACGAAGGGUGCAAGCGUUAAUCGGAAUUACUGGGCGUAAAGCGUGCGUAGGCGGUUUCUUAAGUCUGCUGUGAAAUCCCCGGGCUCAACCUGGGAAUGGCAGUGGAUACUGGGAGGCUAGAGUGUGUCAGAGGGUGGUGGAAUUCCCGGUGUAGCGGUGAAAUGCGUAGAGAUCGGGAGGAACAUCAGUGGCGAAGGCGGCCACCUGGGACAACACUGACGCUGAGGCACGAAAGCGUGGGGAGCAAACAGGAUUAGAUACCCUGGUAGUCCACGCCCUAAACGAUGCGAACUGGAUGUUGGUCUCAACUCGGAGAUCAGUGUCGAAGCUAACGCGUUAAAGUUCGCCGCCUGGGGAGUACGGUCGCAAGACUGAAACUUAAAUGAAUUGACGGGGUCAUAGCUGUUUCCUG